UAGGGAAUCUUCGGCAAUGGGGGGAACCCUGACCGCGCAACGCCGCGUGAGUGAAGAAGGUUUUCGGAUCGUAAAGCUCUGUUGUUAAGGAAGAACGAGUGUGAGAAUGGAAAGUUCAUGCUGUGACGGUACUUAACCAGAAAGGGACGGCUAACUACGUGCCAGCAGCCGUGGUAAUACGUAGGUCCCGUGCGUGGUCCGGAUUUGUUGGGCGUAAAGCGAGCGCAGGCGGUUAGAAAAGUCUGAAGUGAAAGGCAGUGGCUCAACCAUUGUAGGCUUUGGAAACUGUUGAACUUGGGUGCAGAAGGGGAGAGUGGAAUUCCGUGUGUAGCGGUGAGAUGCGUAGAUAUGUGGAAGAACACCGGUGGAGAAAGCGGCUCUCUGGUCUGUAACUGACGCUGGGGCUCGAAAGCGUGGGGAGCGAACAGG
RNAcentral lists this ribosomal RNA (429 nucleotides) under Bacteroidota bacterium. RNAcentral's name for it is "Bacteroidetes bacterium partial 16S ribosomal RNA". It matches the Rfam family "Bacterial small subunit ribosomal RNA", at positions 355 to 776 of the family's 1533-position model. The record is from RNAcentral. Lineage: Bacteria; Pseudomonadati; Bacteroidota.